GCAGAAGGCUGGACGGCCGCGCUGGGGGCUCGCCCUCCGCGAGGAAAGUCCGGACUCCCUAAAGCAACGGUGCCGGGUAACGCCCGGGCAGGGCAACCUGACGGAUAGCGCCACAGAAAUGAAACCGCCGUGCCCCCGGCAACGGAUCAGGGCGCGGUAAGGGUGAAACGGUGGGGUAAGAGCCCACCGCGCCCCUGGCAACAGGGGCGGCACGGCAAGCCCCACCGGGAGCAACGCCAAAUAGGGCCCCCGCGCGGGUAGGUCCCGGCAACGGGAUACCGCCGCUAGGCAUGCUUUAGCCAAGAGGGGCCGGGUUGGCAGCUAGAGGUACGCAGUAAUGCGUAUCGCAGAUGAAUGGCCGUCCAUGAGGCGCAAGUCUCGGGACAGAAUCCGGCUUACAGGCCUUCUGCGCAA
RNAcentral lists this RNase P RNA (414 nucleotides) under Phaeobacter gallaeciensis. RNAcentral describes it as "Bacterial RNase P class A". It matches the Rfam family "Bacterial RNase P class A". From Rfam's summary of the family: Ribonuclease P (RNase P) is a ubiquitous endoribonuclease, found in archaea, bacteria and eukarya as well as chloroplasts and mitochondria. Its best characterised activity is the generation of mature 5'-ends of tRNAs by cleaving the 5'-leader elements of precursor-tRNAs. Lineage: Bacteria; Pseudomonadati; Pseudomonadota; Alphaproteobacteria; Rhodobacterales; Roseobacteraceae. RNAcentral also lists the same sequence under 3 other names. The record is from Rfam by way of RNAcentral.